RNAcentral lists this ribosomal RNA (488 nucleotides) under uncultured bacterium. RNAcentral's name for it is "bacterial SSU rRNA". It matches the Rfam family "Bacterial small subunit ribosomal RNA", at positions 791 to 1280 of the family's 1533-position model. The record is from RNAcentral.
UAGUCCACGCCGUAAACGAUGAUCACUCGUUGUUGGCAAUACAUAGUCAGCGACCAAGCGAAAGUAUUAAGUGAUCCACCUGGGGAGUACGCUCGCAAGAGUGAAACUCAAAGGAAUUGACGGGAGCCCGCACAAGCGGUGGAACAUGUGGUUUAAUUCGAUGAUACGCGAGGAACCUUACCUGGGCUUAAAUGUAGGACGACGAUACGGGAAACCGAAUCUCUCUUCGGAGCGGACUACAAGGUGCUGCAUGGUUGUCGUCAGCUCGUGCCGUGAGGUGUUGGGUUAAGUCCCGCAACGAGCGCAACCCCUAUUGUUAGUUGCCAGCAUUAAGUUGGGGACUCUAGCAAGACUGCCGGCGUAAGCCGCGAGGAAGGUGGGGACGACGUCAAAUCAUCAUGGCCUUUAUGCCUAGGGGCGACACACGUGCUACAAUGGUACAUACAGAGGGGUUGCGAAGCCGCGAGGGUGGGAGCUAAUCUCAGAAA